This 253-nucleotide ribosomal RNA is filed under the name uncultured bacterium. RNAcentral's name for it is "partial 16S ribosomal RNA". It matches the Rfam family "Bacterial small subunit ribosomal RNA", at positions 524 to 776 of the family's 1533-position model. The record is from RNAcentral.
UACGUAGGGGGCUAGCGUUGUCCGGAAUCAUUGGGCGUAAAGAGCGUGUAGGCGGCCCGGUAAGUCCGCUGUGAAAGUCGGGGGCUCAACCCUCGGAUGCCGGUGGAUACUGUCGGGCUCGAGUACGGAAGAGGCGAGUGGAAUUCCUGGUGUAGCGGUGGAAUGCGCAGAUAUCAGGAGGAACACCAAUAGCGAAGGCAGCUCGCUGGGACGGUACUGACGCUAAGGCGCGAAAGCGUGGGGAGCGAACAGG